Molecule: long non-coding RNA, 1397 nt
Organism: Papaver somniferum (opium poppy)
Lineage: Eukaryota; Viridiplantae; Streptophyta; Magnoliopsida; Ranunculales; Papaveraceae
Exons: 7
Source: RefSeq, a predicted model, not a curated record
CUUUCCUUUUCUUCCCUCUCCCUCUCUCUCUCUCUCUCUCUCUCGUUUCUCUUUCCCCAAGAUCUCCAAACCUCGCCUCUCUCGAGUAAACGAAAACCCUAACUCAGUCACAACUAUAACCACCUUUACUUCCAGAACGAGCACAGAAGAAUCCCCGAUCUUCUUCUUCUCAUAUAUGGAUGUUUUUGGUAACAAAAUCGAUUUCAUCUGAAAUCGCUCAUCUCUUGUGUAAAAAAAUCACUAUUCUCUUUGUCUAAGCUAUCGACUUCAUCUGAAAUCAGUCAAGGGUUUGCUCAAGUCACUGUGUUUUCAUUACUCUUUCUCUAGCAGAUGAAGAUUGAUGAACAACAUGAAGGAUGCUGGAACUUCUAAAAGAGAACAUGCAGUCAUGGAGAAGAUUAAAGAAGCACACAGGAGAGUGAUGGUGGCUAACCAUCCUCACAAGGUUGGGAGCAUGUAUCUUGCUAAAAAGAUCAACGAGGCUGAGGUCCUUUUGAUGGAUGAGGGUCGUUUUCAAUUCUUUCCAUGUGAAGCCAGGGUUUGCUGUUAGGAUUGACAGAUGCUGAUGAUCCUAUUCCCAGAUCUAGUAAUGGCUUGUAUGAAGAAAUUUCUUUUAAGAUUCUGAAACAGGAAGUUAUAUCCAGAAAUGUAUUGGUUGAUGAAUGUUCAAGGCAGGUUGUCGAGGUGGAGCAAGCAGCCAUGUGGAAGUUUCUUUGGUGGUAGGGAAUCAUAGCUGUCCAUGUUAUGGUUGGCCAAAACAUAGAUGAUCACUCGAUAUAUACGCAUGAGCAAUAGAAGUUUAUGAACUGUAAUUUUCGUGUUUCAGAAACUUUUCUCCAGCACUUCCUCCUCAAGCCUUGUUGAUGUACUUUAUGCUGAGUGUUUGCAUUUGUCGAUUUGUGAAGGAAGGACUCAUGCUGGUUGUUGCAACAAUCUGACAAGAUAUAUGCUGGAGCAUUUUGAUAGUGAUUCAGUGAUUCGAAUCACAGUUUGAUUCUUCACAAGACUAAACUUUGUGCUCCUGCACUUGCUCCAUUCAAGGCUUAUUACGAAGGAAACUUUUGGGGUGCCAAAACAAUCCCAAGCACAGCAUGAGAUGCUUAACAUGCUGAAGCCAAGGCUCUUCUUGUAGCCACACUAUGGGUUAACGAGAUGGAACUGCAGUUUACUUCAAAGGGGACUGAAUCAUUCUGAAGAUGUAUGCUAUGCUAUCUAGUGUUCAAAUCACCAUAGUUAACUAUUGCUGUUAUAGUGGUCUGUCAAGUUUUCUAGAUUUUUGGUGUAGUUACUGUCAGUAUUAUUCGAAAAAAAUAUUGUCUUUAGGUUUCUGUUAGUAUUAUUUUGUAACAUUUGAUAAGGUCUUAUUUGGAAUAAAAUUUCUGUUAAUUCUGGGUAAA